RNAcentral lists this ribosomal RNA (329 nucleotides) under uncultured bacterium. RNAcentral describes it as "bacterial SSU rRNA". It matches the Rfam family "Bacterial small subunit ribosomal RNA", at positions 505 to 833 of the family's 1533-position model. The record is from RNAcentral.
GUGCCAGCAGCCGCGGUAAUACGUAGGUGGCAAGCGUUGUCCGGAUUUACUGGGCGUAAAGGAUGUGUAGGCGGAUUUUUAAGUGAGAUGUGAAAUCCCCGGGCUUAACUUUGGGGCUGCAUUUCAAACUGGAUGUCUAGAGUGCAGAAGAGGAAAGCAGAAUUCCUAGUGUAGCGGUGAAAUGCGUAGAGAUUAGGAAGAAUACCAGUGGCGAAGGCGACUUUCUGGACUGUAACUGACGCUGAGGCAUGAAAGCGUGGGGAGCAAACAGGAUUAGAUACCCUGGUAGUCCAUGCCGUAAACGAUGAAUACUAGGUUUAAGAGGGUUC